GAUGAACGCUGGCGGCGUGCUUAACACAUGCAAGUCGAACGAAGAUGCCGGAGUGCUUGCACUUUGGCAGACUGAGUGGCGGACGGGUGAGUAACGCGUGGGUAACCUGCCUUAUACAGGGGGAUAACAGUUGGAAACGACUGCUAAUACCGCAUAAGCGCACGGUAUCGCAUGAUACAGUGUGAAAAACUCCGGUGGUAUAAGAUGGACCCGCGUCUGAUUAGCUUGUUGGUGAGGUAACGGCCCACCAAGGCGACGAUCAGUAGCCGGCCUGAGAGGGUGAACGGCCACAUUGGGACCGAGACACGGCCCAAACUCCUACGGGAGGCAGCAGUGGGGAAUAUUGCACAAUGGGGGAAACCCGUACGAUGCAGCGACGCCGCGUGAGUGA
RNAcentral lists this ribosomal RNA (391 nucleotides) under uncultured bacterium. RNAcentral's name for it is "bacterial SSU rRNA". It matches the Rfam family "Bacterial small subunit ribosomal RNA", at positions 28 to 408 of the family's 1533-position model. The record is from RNAcentral.